UAAAAAUUAACACGUGGUUAUCGUGUUUGUUUAGUUAUUAUUUUUUGUAAUCAAUAUAUUAAAAUAACGUUAUCGUUUUGGACAUAAGUGAAGGUCGCUCGGAAUACCCGGCACGACUGCGCAUCUGGCUACGUCAUACCUCUUUACCCCGCACCCCCUCUGAGACCCGCUAUUCCUAUACCGGGGUCGGGUCGACUCACUCCGCACACUCGCUCAUUCAUUGGACAUUCGCAAACGUAGGUAGACGUAGUCAGAGAGAAUCGAUUUCUCGUGUCAUAAUAAUUUACUAUCCUUCAACGCUAUGUUGAAAGAAACCAGCCGCUAUGAUAGCCGUAAUACUUCACAAGAAGAGAGGCGUCCAUUAGCGGCAAGUCGUUUACCAGCUAUCGAAGAACUCACACUUGGCUUAAAGCAAAAACUUCACCUGCAGGCUCGGACAAGAGCUGCACCUUAUUAUAUUAGAAAGCAAGAACCAGUUGAUCUCGUGGAAAGGUUACUAGAGCAACGUGCCCUUGUCGCCGAGGCUGUGCGAAGAUUACAGGAAAAGAAACAACCGUGUCAUGAAAUAUCAGUAGACUCAUAAUUUAUUUAUGUUAUUUAAACAAAACAUUUUAGUUGUGAAAGUGUGGAACGUGUUGUGAAAUCGUUUGUGUGUAAGAAACGUGUCGGGUUACAAUGGUGCUAUAUGCGGAGAGCAUGCGAGAACGAGAUGGCUGAUUGUGACGUGUCCACGCACGACACGAAUCACGAGAAUGAACCAAAAUGGCCGCCGGUAUUCUACAAUCAUAAUAUUUAUUCUUCGUUUUAUAGUGACCUUAACUGAUCAAAGUACUGAAUGACGUAACCUAACGUUUAGGAUUGUAAUACGGUUUUAAAUGAUUUUUACGUAACGUUAUUUUCUUUUAUACCGUACCGUUUAUUACUGUAAGCAAAGCAUUUCCAAAUAAGAUGAUUAACAUAAUGAUACCAACAUUUAUAAAUGAAAAGUAUUUACAAGCUUUAAAUUAUUGUUUUCCUAUAGUUGUAUUGUAAAAAUAAUUACUAUUGUAAUAAAUAUGACUAAUCUUUACUUAUAAAUAUUUCACUUCAAUCGAUAUUUGUAUACGUAAUAAUUUAACCAUAAAACAAAAUGGGACGAAACAAUACUUAAUUCAUCUUAAUAUUUCAAUAUUAUGCGACAUGUUCCGUUAUCACUUUCACAACAACUGUAAACAUAACAGUACAUAAUAAAAGUGUUUAUAAGUACA
Long non-coding RNA from Pieris rapae (cabbage white), 1247 nucleotides. RefSeq lists it as uncharacterized. The record is from RefSeq and is a predicted model, not a curated record. The transcript is spliced from 2 exons. NCBI's taxonomy places the organism in Eukaryota, Metazoa, Arthropoda, Insecta, Lepidoptera, Pieridae.